This 253-nucleotide ribosomal RNA is filed under the name uncultured bacterium. Its description in RNAcentral is "partial 16S ribosomal RNA". It matches the Rfam family "Bacterial small subunit ribosomal RNA", at positions 524 to 776 of the family's 1533-position model. The record is from RNAcentral.
UACGUAGGGACCAAGCGUUGUUCGGAUUUACUGGGCGUAAAGGGCGCGUAGGCGGCAAUUCAAGUCAUCUGUGAAAUCUCCGGGCUUAACUCGGAACGGUCAGAUGAUACUGCUUUGCUAGAGUGCGGGAUGGGAGAGUAGAAUUCCUGGUGUAGCGGUGAAAUGCGUAGAUAUCAGGAGGAAUACCGGUGGUGUAGACGGCUCUCUGGACCGCCACUGACGCUGAGACACGAAAGCGUGGGUAGCAAACAGG